UACGUAGGGUGCAAGCGUUUGUCCGGAAUUAUUGGGCGUAAAGAGCUCGUAGGCGGUUCGUCGCGUCGGCUGUGAAAACCCGGAGCUCAACUCCGGGCCUGCAGUCGAUACGGGCGGACUCGAGUUCGGCAGGGGAGACUGGAAUUCCUGGUGUAGCGGUGAAAUGCGCAGAUAUCAGGAGGAACACCAAUUGCGAAGGCAGCUCGCUGGGACGUUACUGACGCUGAGACGCGAAAGCGUGGGGAGCAAACAGG
This 254-nucleotide ribosomal RNA is filed under the name uncultured bacterium. RNAcentral's name for it is "partial 16S ribosomal RNA". It matches the Rfam family "Bacterial small subunit ribosomal RNA", at positions 524 to 776 of the family's 1533-position model. The record is from RNAcentral.